CCUACGGGUGGCAGCAGUGGGGAAUAUUGGACAAUGGGGGGAACCCUGAUCCAGCCAUGCCGCGUGUGUGAAGAAGGCCCUCGGGUUGUAAAGCACUUUCAGUGAGGAAGAACGCCUGGUGGUUAAUACCCAUCAGGAAAGACAUCACUCACAGAAGAAGCACCGGCUAACUCCGUGCCAGCAGCCGCGGUAAUACGGAGGGUGCGAGCGUUAAUCGGAAUUACUGGGCGUAAAGCGCGCGUAGGUGGCUUGAUAAGCCGGUUGUGAAAGCCCCGGGCUCAACCUGGGAACGGCAUCCGGAACUGUCAAGCUAGAGUGCAGGAGAGGAAGGUAGAAUUCCCGGUGUAGCGGUGAAAUGCGUAGAGAUCGGGAGGAAUACCAGUGGCGAAGGCGGCCUUCUGGACUGAAACUGACACUGAGGUGCGAAAGCGUGGGUAGCAAACAGGAUUAGAUACCUGAGUAGUC
Molecule: ribosomal RNA, 465 nt
Filed under: Vreelandella stevensii
Lineage: Bacteria; Pseudomonadati; Pseudomonadota; Gammaproteobacteria; Oceanospirillales; Halomonadaceae
Description: partial 16S ribosomal RNA
Rfam family: Bacterial small subunit ribosomal RNA
Source: RNAcentral